AUUGAACGCUGGCGGCAGGCCUAACACAUGCAAGUCGAGCGGAGCGGCGGACGGGUGAGUAAUGCCUAGGAAUCUGCCUGGUAGUGGGGGAUAACGUAAGGAAACGGGCGCUAAUACCGCAUACUAUAAGACGAGGCUAGGGCGGAUUAGCUAGUUGGUGGGGUAAAGGCCCACAAAGGCGACGAUCCGGAACUGGUCUGAGAGGAGUAUCAGUCACACUGGAACUGAGACACGGUCCAGACUCCGACGGGAGGCAGCAGUGGGGAAUAUUGGACAAUGGGCGAAAGCCUUAUCCAGCCAUGCCGCGUGUGUGAAGAAGGUCUUCGGAUUGUAAAGCACUUUAAGUUGGGAGGCGUUACCAACAGAAUAAGCACCGGCUAACUUCGUGCCAGCAGCCGCGGUAAUUC
Molecule: ribosomal RNA, 407 nt
Filed under: uncultured bacterium
Lineage: Bacteria
Description: partial 16S ribosomal RNA
Rfam family: Bacterial small subunit ribosomal RNA
Source: RNAcentral